GAAAUCCUUGAUUCUAAUACAGUCGGGGGAUGACGGUACCGGAAGAAUAAGCACCGGCUAACUACGUGCCAGCAGCCGCGGUAAUACGUAGGGUGCGAGCGUUAAUCGGAAUUACUGGGCGUAAAGCGUGCGCAGGCGGUUUGCUAAGACCGAUGUGAAAUCCCCGGGCUCAACCUGGGAACUGCAUUGGUGACUGGCAGGCUAGAGUAUGGCAGAGGGGGGUAGAAUUCCACGUGUAGCAGUGAAAUGCGUAGAGAUGUGGAGGAAUACCGAUGGCGAAGGCAGCCCCCUGGGCCAAUACUGACGCUCAUGCACGAAAGCGUGGGGAGCAAACAGGAUUAGAUACCCUGGUAGUCCACGCCCUAAACGAUGUCAACUAGUUGUUGGGGAUUCAUUUCCUUAGUAACGUAGCUAACGCGUGAAGUUGACCGCCUGGGGAGUACGGUCGCAAGAUUAAAACUCAAAGGAAUUGACGGGGACCCGCACAAGCGGUGGAUGAUGUGGAUUA
This 508-nucleotide ribosomal RNA is filed under the name Burkholderia sp. RNAcentral's name for it is "bacterial SSU rRNA". It matches the Rfam family "Bacterial small subunit ribosomal RNA", at positions 447 to 948 of the family's 1533-position model. Lineage: Bacteria; Pseudomonadati; Pseudomonadota; Betaproteobacteria; Burkholderiales; Burkholderiaceae. The record is from RNAcentral.